UAAGCGCCAAUGAUGUUAUGCUUCCAAGAAAAGCUCGUACACCUCUAGAAGCAAUUCUAGAAAAACACAAAAAUAACCUGUACCUGAAACCGACACAGGUAGGUUGGUAGAGAAUACCGAGGGGCGCGAGAGAACUCUCUCUAAGGAACUCGGCAAACUAGCCCCGUAACUUCGGAAGAAGGGGCGCCCUCUUUAACGGGAGGGUCGCAGUGACGAGGUUCUGGCAACUGUUUAUCAAAGACACAGGUCUCCGCAAAGUCGUAAGACAAUAUAUGGUGCUGACGCCUGCCCAGUGCCGGAAGGUCAAGGAAGUUGGUUAUAAAUCUUCGGAUUUAGAAGCUGACGACCGAAGCCCCGGUGAACGGCGGCCGUAACAAUGACGGUCCUAAGGUAGCGAAAUUCAUUGUCGAGUAAGUUUCGACCUGCACGAAAGGCGUAAUGAUCAGAACGCUGUCUCGGAGAGGGACUCGGUGAAAUAGACUUGUCCGUGAAGAUGCGGACUACUAAUACUUGGACAGAAAGACCCUAUGAAGCUUGACUGUAUCCUGGAAUUGGGUUCGGGCUUUUCUUGCGCAGUCUAGGUGGGAGGCUAUGAAGAUUUCCUUCCGGGGAAGUUGGAGCCAUCAGUGAGAGACCACUCUGGAGAGGCUAGAAUCCUAAUGGUGAUCCUUGAAUCAGGACACUUGACAGUUUCAGGUGGGCAGUUUUUCUGGGGCGGAAGCCUCAUAAAGGGUAACUGAGGCGCGCAAAGGUCCCCUCAGUCUGGACGGAAAUCAGACAACGAGUGUAAAGGCAAAAGGGGGCUUGACUGCAAGACCUACAAGUCGAGCAGGAGCGAAAGCUGGCCUUAGUGAUCCGACGGUACCGCGUGGAAGGGCCGUCGCUCAACGAAUAAAAGUUACUCUAGGAUAACAGGCUGAUCUUCUCCAAGAGUUCACAUCGACGAGAAGGUUUGGCACCUGAUGUCGGCUCAUCACAUCCUGGGGCUGUAGUAGGUCCCAAGGGUUGGGCUGUUCGCCCAUUAAAGUGGUACGUGAGCUGGGUUCAGAACGUCGUAAGACAGUUCGGUCCAUAUCCGGUAUUAGCGUUAGAAUAUUGAGGUCAGUCACUCAUAGUACGAGAGGACCUGUAGUGAACAUGCCAAUAGUGUGCCUGUUAUCUUUCCAAAGGUAAACGCAGGGUAGCCACGCAUGGAGUGAAUAAGUACUGAAUGCAUCUAAGUACGAAGUCCAGACCAAGAUGAGUAUUCUCCAUCAAGCCGCAGCAAGACAAGCUGUUUUAUAGGUAUCAAGUGUAAGGCCAGUAAUGGUUUCAGCUGAGAUAUACUAAAGGCUAAUUGAUUUU
This 1344-nucleotide ribosomal RNA is filed under the name metagenome. RNAcentral's name for it is "bacterial LSU rRNA". It matches the Rfam family "Bacterial large subunit ribosomal RNA", at positions 1558 to 2925 of the family's 2925-position model. The record is from RNAcentral.